ACGUAUUCUGAAAGGGAGUACUUCUUCGGACAAUAUACAAGGUGCUGCAUGGUUGUCGUCAGCUCGUGCCGUGAGGUGUCGGGUUAAGUCCCAUAACGAGCGCAACCCCUAUCAUUAGUUGCCAUCAGGUCAAGCUGGGGACUCUAAUGAAACUGCCUACGCAAGUAGUGAGGAAGGUGGGGAUGACGUCAAAUCAGCACGGCCCUUACGUCCAGGGCUACACACGUGCUACAAUGGCCGAUACAGAGGGCAGCUACCUGGUGACAGGAUGCAAAUCUCCAAAGUCGGUCUCAGUUCGGAUCGGAGUCUGCAACCCGACUCCGUGAAGUUGGAUUCGCUAGUAAUCGCGCAUCAGCCAUGGCGCGGUGAAUACGUUCCCGGGCCUU
Molecule: ribosomal RNA, 386 nt
Filed under: uncultured Sphingobacteriales bacterium
Lineage: Bacteria; Pseudomonadati; Bacteroidota; Sphingobacteriia; Sphingobacteriales
Description: bacterial SSU rRNA
Rfam family: Bacterial small subunit ribosomal RNA
Source: RNAcentral